UUGAAGAGUUUGAUCAUGGCUCAGAUUGAACGCUGGCGGCAGGCCUAACACAUGCAAGUCGAACGGUAACAGGAAACAGCUUGCUGUUUCGCUGACGAGUGGCGGACGGGUGAGUAAUGUCUGGGAAACUGCCUGAUGGAGGGGGAUAACUACUGGAAACGGUAGCUAAUACCGCAUAACGUCGCAAGACCAAAGAGGGGGACCUUCGGGCCUCUUGCCAUCGGAUGUGCCCAGAUGGGAUUAGCUAGUAGGUGGGGUAACGGCUCACCUAGGCGACGAUCCCUAGCUGGUCUGAGAGGAUGACCAGCCACACUGGAACUGAGACACGGUCCAGACUCCUACGGGAGGCAGCAGUGGGGAAUAUUGCACAAUGGGCGCAAGCCUGAUGCAGCCAUGCCGCGUGUAUGAAGAAGGCCUUCGGGUUGUAAAGUACUUUCAGCGGGGAGGAAGGGAGUAAAGUUAAUACCUUUGCUCAUUGACGUUACCCGCAGAAGAAGCACCGGCUAACUCCGUGCCAGCAGCCGCGGUAAUACGGAGGGUGCAAGCGUUAAUCGGAAUUACUGGGCGUAAAGCGCACGCAGGCGGUUUGUUAAGUCAGAUGUGAAAUCCCCGGGCUCAACCUGGGAACUGCAUCUGAUACUGGCAAGCUUGAGUCUCGUAGAGGGGUAGAAUUCCGUGUAGCGGUGAAAUGCGUAGAGAUCUGGAGGAAUACCGGUGGCGAAGGCGGCCCCGGACGAAGACUGACGCUCAGGUGCGAAAGCGUGGGGAGCAAACAGGAUUAGAUACCCGGUAGUCCACGCCGUAAACGAUGUCGACUUGGAGGUUGUGCCCUUGAGGCGUGGCUUCCGGAGCUAACGCGUUAAGUCGACCGCCUGGGGAGUACGGCCGCAAGGUUAAAACUCAAAUGAAUUGACGGGGGCCCGCACAAGCGGUGGAGCAUGUGGUUUAAUUCGAUGCAACGCGAAGAACCUUACCUGGUCUUGACAUCCACAGAACUUUCCAGAGAUGGAUUGGUGCCUUCGGGAACUGUGAGACAGGUGCUGCAUGGCUGUCGUCAGCUCGUGUUGUGAAAUGUUGGGUUAAGUCCCGCAACGAGCGCAACCCUUAUCCUUUGUUGCCAGCGGUCCGGCCGGGAACUCAAAGGAGACUGCCAGUGAUAAACUGGAGGAAGGUGGGGAUGACGUCAAGUCAUCAUGGCCCUUACGACCAGGGCUACACACGUGCUACAAUGGCGCAUACAAAGAGAAGCGACCUCGCGAGAGCAAGCGGACCUCAUAAAGUGCGUCGUAGUCCGGAUUGGAGUCUGCAACUCGACUCCAUGAAGUCGGAAUCGCUAGUAAUCGUGGAUCAGAAUGCCACGGUGAAUACGUUCCCGGGCCUUGUACACACCGCCCGUCACACCAUGGGAGUGGGUUGCAAAAGAAGUAGGUAGCUUAACCUUCGGGAGGGCGCUUACCACUUUGUGAUUCAUGACUGGGGUGAAGUCGUAACAAGGUAACCGUAGGGGAACCUGCGGUUGGAUCACCUCCUU
This 1531-nucleotide ribosomal RNA is filed under the name Escherichia coli. RNAcentral's name for it is "bacterial SSU rRNA". It matches the Rfam family "Bacterial small subunit ribosomal RNA". The record is from RNAcentral. Lineage: Bacteria; Pseudomonadati; Pseudomonadota; Gammaproteobacteria; Enterobacterales; Enterobacteriaceae.